RNAcentral lists this long non-coding RNA (814 nucleotides) under Homo sapiens (human). RNAcentral describes it as "HSALNT0192442". Lineage: Eukaryota; Metazoa; Chordata; Mammalia; Primates; Hominidae. The record is from RNAcentral.
UUUUGAGCCGCUUGCUCGAGCUUACUCUUGUUUUGUGCGUUGUCUUCAAUACAUCUGUGCUUUCAUUACUUCUUUCUUCUGUUGCUUUGUUUUUCGUUGCUUCAUUUUUUUUGUUACCUUGUUUGCUCAUUUUGUUCAAUUCUUUGCUCAACACCCAAGAACCUGCACAACUCUGGUAACAUUUUGGAGAGCCAGCCAAGAGGCAAAUUAUGGUAAUCCAGCUGAAAUCCAUGGGUAGUUUCUCACCAUAACCUUGUAACUGACCUCUGUCCUGUGAAUUCAGGAGUGGAGCUGGGACUUGGCAAAAUAUUACAUAUGUACUCUGAACAGAACAAAAUUCAGAGGAAAUCUUUCUUCUUGGCCUGUGGACAUGACUCUGACUAAGCAUUUUUAUAAAGAAGUCUAGGAUCUUCUUCCUAUGUGGCUAUGUGGAGAAAGAAAAGCCCUAGAGGGUGAGAGAUCACAGGAUGGAGAAAGGCACCAGGAGAAGAACCAAGAUACCCUAAUACAAAACUAGCACCAAGUCCCCCAGAUAAGUAGGUUAAAGAUGUGACAUUUCCUAACAGCACCAAGGAAGGAGCACCAGAGAACAUGAAAAGGCACUCAAGCUAAGUGGUCUGUUGAACUUUGCAUAUCUUCCUCUUUGUCAAUGAAAGAAGGCAAAACCAAACCUAAAUGAAACAAAACAAAGAACUACUUACAAGGAGUUUUAAAAUAUCUCAAUCUCUGCGUUACUUAUGUAACCCACAGAGUAUAUAGAUGACCACUUAGAGGUAUUCCUACUAUUAACAAAGGUAUUAGUAUCUGUGUUUUA